Non-coding RNA from Lonchura striata (white-rumped munia), 322 nucleotides. Lineage: Eukaryota; Metazoa; Chordata; Aves; Passeriformes; Estrildidae. The record is from RefSeq and is a predicted model, not a curated record.
CAGCUGGGGCACUGCUUAUCUCCAGAAAUUCCUCUUUUUCUUGCCUGAUAGUUGUCUUUGCUCCAAAAAUAGGAUUGUGUGUCUCCAGGUCACUGAAGGACUGGAUCUGAGAGCAGAUGAGGAGAUCAGGACCUGUCUGCAUGGACAGACCAAUGGAGGAAAGCCUUUUCUUUGUAGAUAAAGCUGAAUUCAUCCAUUGAGUGAGAGGCAAGAGAGCUUUGGUGAAGCUCUCAAAUAUUGAGUGAGGAGCUGAAGCCUGCACAGCCAUGGAAGCAAUUUAAUGCAUAUAAAGAGAAAUUCUGGAUAUUGGUGGAAUUCAGGA